UGGUGAUCAAAAUCCAAGACGUAUGUACGUACGUUUGUUCCUGACACAAAAAUGAAUCAUUUCAAGAUAUACAUGUAAUAUUCAAUGGCGCAAGAAAUACGUACAAUCAAGAAUUAAAUAAAAUAUCUAAAUUAAUACACAUAAACGUCGAAGAAAUCCAUAGAUAAGAUGGAAAUAAUGGAACGUCUCGGGAAGUUACUUCCGUUAACCAAUUCGGGCACUGUCGAUCUGAUCUGGUCCAUAGCGAUCAUUGUACUUGCGAUCAUAAUAUUUUUCACUUUGAGGAAAAAUUAAUAAAUUUGAGAAGAUUACUUCGAUUUACAUGCAGCGUUGUUCGGAAAAAAUUAUCAGGUCAAGAUGCAAAUGAUGAUACUCACCAGAUGACACGAUGACGCAGCUGCACAAA
This is a long non-coding RNA of Cyphomyrmex costatus, 406 nucleotides long. RefSeq lists it as uncharacterized. The record is from RefSeq and is a predicted model, not a curated record. The transcript has 3 exons. NCBI's taxonomy places the organism in Eukaryota, Metazoa, Arthropoda, Insecta, Hymenoptera, Formicidae.